CGACCCUCAAGCAUAGCUUGGUGUUGGGUGAAGUCCUUAAAAGGGACCCACCCCUAACUUGUAGGCGGUAAUCGCCCGUUUUCCCCAGCGUAGCAGGCUCAAGCAUUCGCUCCGGGAACAGGCGGUUUGACUCGCUAAAUAAAAAACCUUCUCAAG
RNAcentral lists this unclassified non-coding RNA (156 nucleotides) under uncultured Ascomycota. RNAcentral describes it as "sequence contains ITS2". Lineage: Eukaryota; Fungi; Ascomycota. The record is from RNAcentral.